CUGGGUGCAGCGCCAGCGCCGGCGCCGGCAGCUGCGAGGGCUGCGGAGAUUAAACAGAAGUGUCCAGAUCGGGCAUUGUGGGUUUAAAUCCUGAAUUCACCACUCACCAUCUGAGGCUUUCCCCUCUCACAAAUUAGUUACCACCUUUUAUCUCAUCUGACAACGGGAAUAAUAACAGCAAGGAUUGUAGCGACUAGUUCACAGGUUUGCUUCAAUUGAAUUCCAUUUGUUUUCUUGCCACCCUCGAUGCCCAGGUGAGAGGAUAAGGUAAUUUCUGACAGUCUGAGACUCCUUGAGAGAAACAGACUAGGUGCCAAGACCCUAUUUUGGGAGAAAUCUUUGUUUUCCUAAUGGAACCCCAAGAAUUCCAGACCACACGGGAUGUGGGGAGCAUUUUCCUCCCUGGAGAGGGAGGUUCAUGAGCUAGUGGCAUGGGAAGACAUGAUCCCUUCACAGCUGAGGAGCGGGUGCCUGGAUCUUUGA
This is a long non-coding RNA of Cebus imitator (Panamanian white-faced capuchin), 483 nucleotides long. RefSeq lists it as uncharacterized. NCBI's taxonomy places the organism in Eukaryota, Metazoa, Chordata, Mammalia, Primates, Cebidae. The transcript is spliced from 3 exons. The record is from RefSeq and is a predicted model, not a curated record.